UUCUCCCGGAGGCGCAUGAUGUCCUCGGCCAGGUUGUCGCGCUCCACCUCGACGCGGGCUUUGUCGUUGGUUAGCUGGUCCACCUGCCGGCGCAGCUCCCGCAUCUCCUCCUCGUAGAGGUCCCCCAGGCGCGACUUGCCCUGGCCCUUGAGCUGCUCGAGCUCGGCCAGCAGGAUCUUAUUCUGCUGCUCCAGGAAGCGCACCUUGUCGAUGUAGUUGGCGAAGCGGUCAUUCAGCUCCUGCAGCUCCACCUUCUCGUUGGUGCGAGUGUUCUUGAACUCGGUGUUGAUGGCGUCGGCCAGCGAGAAGUCCACCGAGUCCUGCAGGAGCCGCACCCCGGGCACGCUGCUCCGCAGGCGCACGGCAGAGGAGCGCGUGGCAUACACGCCGCCCGGGGACGAGGCGUAGAGGCUGCGGCUAGUGCUGGGGCGCAGCGCGCUGCCCAGGCUGUAGGUGCGGGUGGACGUAGUCACGUAGCUCCGGCUGGAACUCGGCCGGCUCGCGGUGCCCGGGCCGCCGAACAUCCUGCGGUAGGAGGACGAGGACACGGACCUGGUGGACAUGGCUGCGGAGGGUGGCGAUGGGCUGGGCGGCGGCGGUGGCGCGGACUGGCUCCCGGAGAAGAGGCGAACGAGGGCGCGACAGCAAAGCUCCCUUUGGAUGACAUAGAUUUAUUACUUAGUAGUAUAUCAUGUAUUGGCCGUCCCACAUUUUGAAAUUUAAUGGACUCGUGGUGAUCAGAAGAAAAGAAGCCUUCGAUGUGAGGCCCAGGCAUUGAGUACCAUGUGUGCGAUUCAUGAGCCUUGGCAUCUGAACAGGUUUUUGGAAGGAUCCAUCAAGACAACACAUCGGGGGCGUACUAGUGAAGUGAUUUUCAAAAUGUGCUACUCAGACCUGUAGCAUCAGCAUCACUGGAUA
RNAcentral lists this non-coding RNA (918 nucleotides) under Pongo abelii (Sumatran orangutan). The record is from RNAcentral. Lineage: Eukaryota; Metazoa; Chordata; Mammalia; Primates; Hominidae.